CUGUUACUAUCCAUGUGUGAAAUUACCAUUUUAAGAUGUUUUGGAGAUGUUGCAGCAGUUGAUUUCCGUAGUGGUUCUGCAAAGUGAUGUCGAAAUUGUUGCUAUUCCUGCAAUCCAGAGAUGGUGAGCUGAACGAGUUUGUUUUGGCAUUUGUCUCUCUGUUUGAUGAUGCUGUUUAACUGAACCUGAAAGAUGGACCCUAUUGAAACAGAAACGGAGCUUGCUAUGCUCAAGUCGCAGUGGAAUACAUUUUCAGUGACCUAAUGAAUUCUCAUGAUAGUUUGAUUCUCAAAUGAUGUUAGUUUACUUAUGUGGUGUUGAAGUAUAUUAAUCUUACGUUGAUUAGAAAUCAAAAUUUUGGCCUAUGAGGUUUUAUUUAUCUAUUAGCUUAAGAUUUUGGAGUGAUUGGCUCUCUGAGUUAGUAAUAUUCUAGCUAUGUAGUUUGCGCAAUUGGAUUUUUGAAGGUUAUGGAGUUGGGGUGAUAGCAAAAAGCUAUGUAAAAUGUAGCUUAGACUUUUCCAUAAUAGUUGUUAUCAAAAAGCUGUAGAAAAUGUAGCUUAGACUUUUCUCUCUGCUGGAGAUUAGUUUAUUGCAGUACAUCUACUAGUUGGACCUGGCUAAUAAGUGAAGCUAUUAUUGUCCUUUUAGGUUCUGUUUACUAUUUUCUACCUCUUUUUUGGGUGGUUUUCUUUUUAUUACAACAUUAACUAAAUUUGUAGGACCUAAAUUUGUAGACCUAAAGUAUUAUUUUCUUGUCUACGUUACAUUUCAAAGUUUUGCGCAUAAUUACUAUGGUUAAGUUCUAAGAUCAUCAUUUUAUUAAGACCUAAUGUAAAUCUCCUGUUGCAUUUAUAGGGUGCUUUGUGUAAUCAUACUUCUAUACCUUAACUUAUUGUAGGACCUAAAUUUGUUAGUAACUUUCUUCUUAUGGUAUGGCGUGGUGUUGGAGAUUGAUGUAAGUGACUUUCUAAUCAUAAUUUUAAGAGGCUCUUUUUGUUUGAUUUUGUUAGUAACUUUUUGUUUGAUUUCAUUGUGAGAGUCAUGUACAUGAAGACAUGGUCCGAGCUAUCAAAAAGAUGAUUUUUGAUAUAGAAGUAGUUUUGCAAGUAUGGCAUCUACCACUAAGCAGGUAAUAGAAUUUAGUUGGUUAAGCUGAUUGCCGAGUUGCUUAUUGUUCUUCUUAUUUUACAGAUUAAGAGUUUACUCAUUCAGUCAUAUGCACGUCGUGGGUUGAUGCAUUUGCGAAGGUAUUGACCUCAUAAAAUGGGACAAGGCUAAAAUCGGUUACUAUGUUCGUGUUGAUAUUGCUGAAGGCUCAGUCCAAGUAUAAAUCGUGGAGCGAUCAGAAUGCGUUUAUGCCUUUUUUGAUUUUGUU
Long non-coding RNA from Ananas comosus (pineapple), 1375 nucleotides. RefSeq lists it as uncharacterized. The transcript has 3 exons. The record is from RefSeq and is a predicted model, not a curated record. NCBI's taxonomy places the organism in Eukaryota, Viridiplantae, Streptophyta, Magnoliopsida, Poales, Bromeliaceae.